GACGAACGCUGGCGGCGUGCCUAAUACAUGCAAGUUGAGCGCUGAAGGUUGGUACUUGUACCAACUGGAUGAGCAGCGAACGGGUGAGUAACGCGUGGGGAAUCUGCCUUUGAGCGGGGGACAACAUUUGGAAACGAAUGCUAAUACCGCAUAAAAACUUUAAACACAAGUUUUAAGUUUGAAAGAUGCAAUUGCAUCACUCAAAGAUGAUCCCGCGUUGUAUUAGCUAGUUGGUGAGGUAAAGGCUCACCAAGGCGAUGAUACAUAGCCGACCUGAGAGGGUGAUCGGCCACAUUGGGACUGAGACACGGCCCAAACUCCUACGGGAGGCAGCAGUAGGGAAUCUUCGGCAAUGGACGAAAGUCUGACCGAGCAACGCCGCGUGAGUGAAGAAGGUGUUCGGAUCGUAAAACUCUGUUGGUAGAGAAGAACGUUGGUGGGAGUGGAAAGCUCAUCAAGUGACGGUAACUACCCAGAAAGGGACGGCUAACUACGUG
This 497-nucleotide ribosomal RNA is filed under the name uncultured bacterium. RNAcentral describes it as "partial 16S ribosomal RNA". It matches the Rfam family "Bacterial small subunit ribosomal RNA", at positions 28 to 507 of the family's 1533-position model. The record is from RNAcentral.